AACGAACGCUGGCGGCAGGCCUAACACAUGCAAGUCGAGCGGACCCUUCGGGGUUAGCGGCGGACGGGUGAGUAACGCGUGGGAAUAUGCCCUUCUCUACGGAAUAGUCCUGGGAAACUGGGGGUAAUACCGUAUACGCCCUUUGGGGGAAAGAUUUAUCGGGGAAGGAUUAGCCCGCGUUGGAUUAGGUAGUUGGUGGGGUAAUGGCCUACCAAGCCGACGAACCAUAGCUGGUUUGAGAGGAUGAUCAGCCACACUGGGACUGAGACACGGCCCAGACUCCUACGGGAGGCAGCAGUGGGGAAUCUUAGACAGUGGGGGCAACCCUGAUCUAGCCAUGCCGCGUGAGUGAUGAAGGCCUUAGGGUUGUAAAGCUCUUUCAGCUGGGAAGAUAAUGACGGUACCAGCAGAAGAAGCCCCGGCUAACUCCGUG
This 433-nucleotide ribosomal RNA is filed under the name uncultured bacterium. RNAcentral's name for it is "partial 16S ribosomal RNA". It matches the Rfam family "Bacterial small subunit ribosomal RNA", at positions 29 to 507 of the family's 1533-position model. The record is from RNAcentral.